UGUUAUUUGCUAAGGAUGCUAAAAUGCUGUUUCAUUUUACAGGAACGUUGGAAGAACUCCAGAUUCUGUUAAAUUAUGGGACAUUGGUUGUCUCAGUCGUCAAUCGCUCCAGAAAGUAGCUGUGCCUAUGGUCCUUAAAAGAAAGCAUGAAAACGCCAUUUUUCCAUUGGGAACGGAGACAGUGUGCUGUUGCUGAAGAAAGGAUUUAUGACAAUGAACUGUAACAAAUUGGAAGGAAUUGGUGCUACUGAAACAACCGUUGCUUUUGAUGUUUUUAUGUUGCAAAAUUAUGCAGUUAGUUUUGGCCCUGAGAAUGGGAGGCAAAUGGAAAUUAAUUUGGAUGGAAGCCACUUGAACAACUAAUUGUCUGCAGUGAUAUCCCUCCUAUGUUUGUUUUGCUCUGCUCAUGAUUCUGGUAGACUUUGGAACGCUACUUUCUACAGGUGGUCGAGAUUGUUCAACAAAUGAGAGGGAGUUGAAAUUCAUUUUGGUCGUACUGAAACAACCAUUGUCUACAUGGGUGUGGUCUUUGGUGAACUACAUUUUUGAUUUGCUGUUUUCGUCUUCGGUUUGCAUCAUUAUGCAGUUAGUUUUGAACUGAUGAGUGAGAACAAGUGGAUAUUUAUUUGAAUUCCACUGAAAUAAGAAACUUUCUGCAUUGCCAUUAUUCCUGGAUUUUGUUUUCUUUUCACCCUUGCAAACUUUGGAACAUUACAGUCUACAGUUAAUUAAGAUUGUUCAACAAAUGAGAGGGAGUUGAAAUUCAUUUUGGUCGUACUGAAACAACCAUUGUCUACAUGGGUGUGGUCUUUGGUGAACUACAUUUUUGAUUUGCUGUUUUCGUCUUCGCUUUGCAUCAUUAUGCAGUUAGUUUUGAACUGAUGAGUGAGAACAAGUGGAUAUUUAUUUGAUUUCCACUGGAAUAAGGAAUUUUCUGCAUUGGCAUUAUUCCUGGAUUUUGUUUGCUUUUCA
Molecule: long non-coding RNA, 972 nt
Filed under: Agrilus planipennis (emerald ash borer)
Lineage: Eukaryota; Metazoa; Arthropoda; Insecta; Coleoptera; Buprestidae
Description: uncharacterized LOC108742158, transcript variant X2
Source: RNAcentral